RNAcentral lists this ribosomal RNA (440 nucleotides) under uncultured bacterium. RNAcentral's name for it is "partial 16S ribosomal RNA". It matches the Rfam family "Bacterial small subunit ribosomal RNA", at positions 338 to 795 of the family's 1533-position model. The record is from RNAcentral.
CCUACGGGUGGCAGCAGUGGGGAAUAUUGCACAAUGGGGGAAACCCUGAUGCAGCAACGCCGCGUGAGUGAAGAAGUAUUUCGGUAUGUAAAGCUCUAUCAGCAGGGAAGAAGAUGACGGUACCUGAAUAAGAAGCCCCGGCUAACUACGUGCCAGCAGCCGCGGUAAUACGUAGGGGGCAAGCGUUAUCCGGAUUUACUGGGUGUAAAGGGAGCGCAGACGGCAGUGCAAGUCUGGAGUGAAAGCCCGGGGCCCAACCCCGGAACUGCUCUGGAAACUGUGCGGCUAGAGUGCAGGAGAGGUAAGUGGAAGUCCUAGUGUAGCGGUGAAAUGCGUAGAUAUUAGGAGGAACACCAGUGGCGAAGGCGGCUUACUGUACUGUAACUGACGUUGAGGCUCGAAAGCGUGGGGAGCAAACAGGAUUAGAUACCCCUGUAGUC